CUUACCUGGGCUCGAACGACUGGUAGUACCUUUUAUGAAAGUAGAAGGGAUCCGCAAGGAAGCCAGCCGAGGUGCUGCAUGGUUGUCGUCAGCUCGUGUCGUGAGAUGUUGGGUUAAGUCCCGCAACGACCGCAACCCCUAUUCUGUGUUGCUUGCUUUGCAAGUUCUUUCAGAAGACUGCCACGGACAACGUGGAGGAAGGCGGGGAUGACGUCAAAUCAUCAUGGCCUUUAUGUCCAGGGCUACACACGUAAUACAAUGGUAUAGACAGAGGGCAGCAAUAUCGUGAGAUGGAGCAAAUCCUUAAACUAUGCCUCAGUUCGGAUUGUAGUCUGAAAUUCGCCUACAUGAAGCUGGAAUCGCUAGUAAUCGCAGAUCA
Molecule: ribosomal RNA, 379 nt
Filed under: uncultured bacterium
Lineage: Bacteria
Description: bacterial SSU rRNA
Rfam family: Bacterial small subunit ribosomal RNA
Source: RNAcentral